RNAcentral lists this transfer RNA (76 nucleotides) under Gammaproteobacteria bacterium. Its description in RNAcentral is "tRNA-Thr". It matches the Rfam family "tRNA". Rfam says of the family: Transfer RNA (tRNA) molecules are approximately 80 nucleotides in length. Their secondary structure includes four short double-helical elements and three loops (D, anti-codon, and T loops). The record is from RNAcentral. Lineage: Bacteria; Pseudomonadati; Pseudomonadota; Gammaproteobacteria.
GCCCACAUAGCUCAGUCGGUAGAGCACUUCCUUGGUAAGGAAGAGGUCACCAGUUCAAGUCUGGUUGUGGGCUCCA